This 81-nucleotide transfer RNA is filed under the name Tigriopus californicus. RNAcentral describes it as "tRNA-Leu for anticodon UAA". It matches the Rfam family "tRNA". Rfam says of the family: Transfer RNA (tRNA) molecules are approximately 80 nucleotides in length. Lineage: Eukaryota; Metazoa; Arthropoda; Copepoda; Harpacticoida; Harpacticidae. The record is from RNAcentral.
GCAAGUUGGCCGAGUGGUCUAAGGCGCCAGAUUUAAGCUCUGUUCCUAAUGGAAGCGUGGGUUCGAACCCCACACUUGACA